UCGGACAGGUGCGUGGGCGACCCAGAUAGACGCGUGGGCAGCCACUCCACUGCUUAUCCAGUCCACCUUCCAUCUCCACCUUUUCCGCUCUCGCCUUGCUACUCCCCCGCUGUUCCUACAGCCCGUGCCUAUGCGCCCGGACGCCGCUGCUCCUGUCGCCCAUCCCGUGCGCCUCCCUUCGCUGUGCGCUCUCCACGCCACGAUGGCUGUGAGCCACCCCUCCCUCCCUUUCUUCCUCCCUCACCUCUGCGACCUCCAUGUCCUCUAUGCCACUGGAGUGGGGGCGAUAGCGGUGGCUUCCGACGAGACACACACCUCCCCCUACUCUCUCUUCCUCACAGCGACCUCCAUGCAUCCAGAGAGGAGAGCAACAACGGAGACUUUCAGCAAGGUAGGUGGAGUCCUCAUCUAGAUCUCAACUUCUCCUCUUUUUCCUCACUCUAAACCAAGCUCUCCUCUACCUUCUCGUCCUCGUCGUCCACCUCCUAUUCCUCAUCUGGAUCUGGAUCUAAGGAUACGACAGUGGCUAAGGUUUCGGUGAGCUCUCGGGUACAGAUCUCGUCGUGUUGCAAUGAUUCUCUCUUGAUGUUGCAGUAGGUUUCAAUCGAUUGUUGUAGUACUGCUUUUUUAGAUGUUUUACAGUAUAUUUCAGUUGCUUCAAUCUGCAUGUUGCAGUAGUUGUUGCAUGUGUGUUUCAACAGUUGUUCGGUGUUAUUGUAAUAAUAUCUUCUUGGUGUUUCAGACGCUGCAACUUAAUAUUUCAGCUAUUUUUUCUUUGUUGUUGCAACAAUACAUUCAAGAUGUUUCAACUUCAUCAUCACAAUGUUGGAGUUGUUAUCUAUUUUUGUUGUUGCAAUAUAUAUGUUCAUAGUGUUUUAACUGCUUCAACUCAUUGUUGCAGCAGCUCAUUCUGUGUUGUUGCAAUAACAUGAUCAUGGUGUUUCGAACUGCUUCAACCUAUUGUUGCAGUAACUUAUUUGGUGAUGUUGCAACAACAUGUUCAUGGUACUUCCACUGCUUCAUCCUAUUGUUGCAUCUCAAGC
Molecule: long non-coding RNA, 1043 nt
Filed under: Sorghum bicolor (sorghum)
Lineage: Eukaryota; Viridiplantae; Streptophyta; Magnoliopsida; Poales; Poaceae
Description: long non-coding RNA (SBIC_LNC005437)
Source: RNAcentral